UAUAUGGAUAGAGAGCAGCUCUUAAUCGAGGCUUUUAAAGCGAGAUCAUCUCGUGUUUUUGCGACAAGGAGAGUGAUUAACAAAAUGUCGGGGCGUCAAGGUGGAAAGAAAAAACCUCUUAAAGCACCAAAAAAGGACACAAAAGAUUUGGAUGAGGAUGAUGUAGCCUUUAAACAGAAACAAAAAGAAGAAAAGAAGAAGUUGGAGGAAAUGAAGAAAGUUGCAGGGCAGAAGGGACCUCUAAGUGCGGGUGGAAUAAAGAAGUCUGGUAAGAAGUGAAUCAAAAUGACAAGCAGACAUUUAAAGGGAGUUUUGCCAAGAAUUAUCAUCACUCAUUGUAAAAGGAAAUUUGUGCAUAAGAAACUGUAUUUAUAAAUAA
Rhopilema esculentum is the source of this 379-nucleotide non-coding RNA. NCBI's taxonomy places the organism in Eukaryota, Metazoa, Cnidaria, Scyphozoa, Rhizostomeae, Rhizostomatidae. The record is from RefSeq and is a predicted model, not a curated record.